Long non-coding RNA from Amphimedon queenslandica, 241 nucleotides. RefSeq lists it as uncharacterized. The transcript has 3 exons. Lineage: Eukaryota; Metazoa; Porifera; Demospongiae; Haplosclerida; Niphatidae. The record is from RefSeq and is a predicted model, not a curated record.
GGAAGCAAAGGAAGCAGGAAAGAUUUUGUCCAUAAACAGUUCACUACAAGUUGCAAGAUAAUUCUGAUCAUCUAGACUACUUUUCAACACUAGUUUCCUACUGUAACAUGGAAAAAUAAUAAGCAGAAAAGUACGAAGAUAGUAAAGUAAUGCCUGGUAAUUCAAGUUUCAACUAUAAAAAGUGAUGCAACAACAUGAGAACAACCUUUAUCAUACCACAACAUGCAGCCUGAGGGAGACU